CGCUAUUGAAUCGCUCUCUGUUGUUCUCUUUUCUUUAUAUUUCUAUUAGAUGAGAUCUGAUUGCUAUGUCUAAUUGAACCCUAAAGUAAAUUCUCAUUUUAGGGAGAAAGAGGGACAGACAGACACGGAAAUAGAUCGCUGGUCGUAGGCGAGACUGAGAGUUUUAACAGAGUCUCGCUCUCUGGAUUACACUCCAAUUUUACUGGUUUCGGGCCUGCUUUUAUUAUUGAAGGAUUGGGAAUUGGUUUAAUUGGGAUUGAGUUCGAUGGGGAAGGGAGGUGAGGACUAUGGUAAAAGAGAAAAAAUUGGUGUGGAAUCGCAGGAUAAAUGCGAUUUCCAUGCGUGGUCCAAAGAUAGUAAGGAAUGCGAAGAGUACUACAAAGUGAACCAUGAGUUUGGAUUAUCGGCUGCAGAAGUUGAGAAGAGGCGGCAGAUCCAUGGAUAUAAUGAAUUGGAGAAACAUGAGGGUGCAUCCAUUUUUAAACUGGUAUUAGAGCAAUUCAAUGACACACUAGUUAGGAUUUUACUAUUUGCUGCCAUAAUAUCUUUUGUGUUGGCUUUGUAUGAUGGUGAGGAAGGGGGGGAAAUGGAGAUCACAGCUUUUGUGGAACCACUGGUUAUUUUCUUGAUCUUGAUUGUGAAUGCAAUUGUGGGGAUUUGGCAAGAGAGCAAUGCUGAAAAAGCAUUGGAAGCCUUGAAAGAAAUCCAGUCCGAGCAUGCCACAGUGAUAAGAGAUGGCAAGAAGAUUUCGAAUUUGCCAGCAAAAGAACUUGUUCCAGGAGAUAUUGUGGAGUUGAGAGUGGGUGAUAAGGUUCCUGCAGAUAUGCGACUUUUGAGUUUGAUUAGCUCCACAGUUCGUGUUGAGCAAGGUUCUUUGACGGGAGAGAGUGAAGCAGUGAGCAAGACUGUCAAGGCUGUUGCAGGAGACACAGAUAUACAAGGUAAGAAAUGCAUGGUUUUUGGGGGAACAAC
This 972-nucleotide unclassified non-coding RNA is filed under the name Hevea brasiliensis (rubber tree). The record is from RNAcentral. Lineage: Eukaryota; Viridiplantae; Streptophyta; Magnoliopsida; Malpighiales; Euphorbiaceae.